GGUACCUACGGGGGGCAGCAGUGGGGAAUAUUGCACAAUGGGGGGAACCCUGAUGCAGCGACGCCGCGUGAGUGAAGAAGUAUUUCGGUACGUAAAGCUCUAUCAGCAGGGAAGAAAAAAGGACGGUACCUGAGUAAGAAGCCCCGGCUAACUACGUGCCAGCAGCCGCGGUAAUACGUAGGGGGCAAGCGUUAUCCGGAUUUACUGGGUGUAAAGGUAGCGUAGACGGCUGUGCAAGUCUGAAGUGAAAUUCCG
This 255-nucleotide ribosomal RNA is filed under the name uncultured bacterium. RNAcentral describes it as "partial 16S ribosomal RNA". It matches the Rfam family "Bacterial small subunit ribosomal RNA", at positions 334 to 604 of the family's 1533-position model. The record is from RNAcentral.